GAUGAACGCUGGCGGCGUGCCUAAUACAUGCAAGUCGAGCGAACAGACGAGGAGCUUGCUCCUCUGACGUUAGCGGCGGACAGGUGAGUAACACGUGGAUAACCUACCUAUAAGACUGGGAUAACUUCGGGAAACCGGAGCUAAUACCGGAUAAUAUAUUGAACCGCAUGGUUCAAUAGUGAAAGACGGUUUUGCUGUCACUUAUAGAUGGAUUCGCGCCGCAUUAGCUAGUUGGUAAGGUAACGGCUUACCAAGGCAACGAUGCGUAGCCGACCUGAGAGGGUGAUCGGCCACACUGGAACUGAGACACGGUCCAGACUCCUACGGGAGGCAGCAGUAGGGAAUCUUCCGCAAUGGGCGAAAGCUUGACGGAGCAACGCCGCGUGGGUGAUGAAGGUCUUCGGAUCGUAAAACUCUGUUAUUAGGGAAGAACAAAUGUGUAAGUAACUAUGCACGUCUUGACGGUACCUAAUCAGAAAGCCACGGCUAACUACGUG
RNAcentral lists this ribosomal RNA (497 nucleotides) under uncultured bacterium. RNAcentral describes it as "partial 16S ribosomal RNA". It matches the Rfam family "Bacterial small subunit ribosomal RNA", at positions 28 to 507 of the family's 1533-position model. The record is from RNAcentral.